RNAcentral lists this long non-coding RNA (562 nucleotides) under Ananas comosus (pineapple). RNAcentral describes it as "long non-coding RNA (ACOM_LNC026436)". Lineage: Eukaryota; Viridiplantae; Streptophyta; Magnoliopsida; Poales; Bromeliaceae. The record is from RNAcentral.
UAAGGUUGAAACAAUAAGAUUAAAACAGUAAAAAUUGGAGGUACCAAAGAUGAAUUAAGAUUUUUUUUAUUUUUUAUUUUUUGUAGUAACUAGCUUUGGUCAGAUCUGAAAUGGGCUGAAGUCAAUUACGCUAUUUUCUAGAGUUUGAGUUUUGACUCAAGAUAUUUCUAGUGUCGAUGAACAAAACUAAAGGUAAAUCUAGUGUCGAUGAAAUACCAAACAACGAAAGUGAAUAUUUAUGGUCGAAAACUAUUUCAUCUCUCUGAUGUGUGGGAUUCUAAUGGUCAAAAUUAAAACACAAUUUAAAUAUUAAAAAAUUAAAGUAAGGAGUUAAGGUUGAAACAACAAGAUUAAAACAGUAAAAACUGGAGGUAUUAUUGAUGAAUUAAGAUUUUAUUAUUUUUUUCUUUUUUUUCGUAAUUGACUUUGAUCAGAUCUAAAAUGGGCUGAAAUCAAUUACGCUAUUUUCUGAAGUUUGAAUUUCGACUCAAAGUAAAUCUAGUUAAGGUGAAACAUCAAACAACAAAAGUGAACAUUUAGGGUCGAAAAUUAUUUCAUCUCU